This 460-nucleotide ribosomal RNA is filed under the name Leptobrachium montanum (mountain spadefoot toad). Its description in RNAcentral is "partial 12S rRNA". It matches the Rfam family "Bacterial small subunit ribosomal RNA", at positions 868 to 1522 of the family's 1533-position model. The record is from RNAcentral. Lineage: Eukaryota; Metazoa; Chordata; Amphibia; Anura; Megophryidae.
CCCGCCCGGGUACUACGAGCAAAGCUUAAAACCCAAAGGACUUGGCGGUGCCCUAUUCCACCUAGAGGAGCCUGUUCUUUAAUCGAUAAUCCACGAUUCACCUCACCAUUUCUUGCCUAAACCGCCUAUAUACCGCCGUCGUCAAUUUUCCCUUUGAAGGAAUCAUAGAAAGUGAGAAGGUAUCCACCAAAACGUCAGGUCAAGGUGUAGCGAAUGAAAUGGGAAGAAACGGGCUACAUUUUCUAUUAUAGAACAAACGGAUUAUCAAUAUGAAAUCUGAAUAUGAAGGAGGAUUUAGUAGUAAAAAGAAAUCAGCAAAUUCUUUUUAAAAUGGCCCUGGGACGCGUACACACCGCCCGUCACCCUCUUCGACUCAAACAACCUUUAUUUUAUGACUACAUUUUUUGACCAAGAAGAGGUAAGUCGUAACAUGGUAAGUAUACCGGAAGGUGUACUUGGA